GCACCGCUGAUGAGAUCCAACCAGGUCGGAACAACCGUCCGGUGC
This 45-nucleotide non-coding RNA is filed under the name Echinostoma caproni. The record is from RNAcentral. Lineage: Eukaryota; Metazoa; Platyhelminthes; Trematoda; Plagiorchiida; Echinostomatidae.